This 253-nucleotide ribosomal RNA is filed under the name uncultured bacterium. RNAcentral describes it as "partial 16S ribosomal RNA". It matches the Rfam family "Bacterial small subunit ribosomal RNA", at positions 524 to 776 of the family's 1533-position model. The record is from RNAcentral.
UACAGAGGUCCCAAGCGUUGUUCGGAUUCACUGGGCGUAAAGGGUGCGUAGGGGGCCGGUUAAGUCUGACGUGAAAUCUCCGAGCCUAACUCGGAAACUGCAUCGGAAACUAUCCGGCUCGAGGGUUGGAGGGGGGACUGGAAUACUUGGUGUAGCAGUGAAAUGCGUAGAUAUCAAGUGGAACACCAGUGGCGAAGGCGAGUCCCUGGACAACUCCUGACACUGAGGCACGAAAGCUAGGGGAGCAAACAGG